UAGCUUAAUGGUAAAGCACCCAACCGGCAAUUGGGGGAUCUGGGUUCAAGUCCCGA
Molecule: transfer RNA, 56 nt
Filed under: Strigamia maritima
Lineage: Eukaryota; Metazoa; Arthropoda; Chilopoda; Geophilomorpha; Linotaeniidae
Rfam family: tRNA
About the family: Transfer RNA (tRNA) molecules are approximately 80 nucleotides in length. Their secondary structure includes four short double-helical elements and three loops (D, anti-codon, and T loops).
Source: Rfam by way of RNAcentral